UGGGGAAUAUUGCACAAUGGGCGCAAGCCUGAUGCAGCGACGCCGCGUGAGGGAUGAAGGCCUUCGGGUUGUAAACCUCUUUCAGUAGGGAAGAAGCGAAAGUGACGGUACCUGCAGAAGAAGCGCCGGCUAACUACGUGCCAGCAGCCGCGGUAAUACGUAGGGCGCAAGCGUUAUCCGGAAUUAUUGGGCGUAAAGAGCUCGUAGGCGGUUUGUCGCGUCUGCCGUGAAAGUCCGGGGCUUAACUCCGGAUCUGCGGUGGGUACGGGCAGACUUGAGUGAUGUAGGGGAGACUGGAAUUCCUGGUGUAGCGGUGAAAUGCGCAGAUAUCAGGAGGAACACCGAUGGCGAAGGCAGGUCUCUGGGCAUUAACUGACGCUGAGGAGCGAAAGCAUGGGGAGCGAACAGGAUUAGAUACCCCUGUAUUCCCUGAGCGGGCUGGCAAGGCGCAU
This 452-nucleotide ribosomal RNA is filed under the name uncultured bacterium. RNAcentral describes it as "bacterial SSU rRNA". It matches the Rfam family "Bacterial small subunit ribosomal RNA", at positions 355 to 825 of the family's 1533-position model. The record is from RNAcentral.